RNAcentral lists this transfer RNA (75 nucleotides) under Herpetosiphonaceae bacterium. RNAcentral describes it as "tRNA-Cys". It matches the Rfam family "tRNA". Rfam says of the family: Transfer RNA (tRNA) molecules are approximately 80 nucleotides in length. Their secondary structure includes four short double-helical elements and three loops (D, anti-codon, and T loops). RNAcentral also lists the same sequence under 1 other name. Lineage: Bacteria; Bacillati; Chloroflexota; Chloroflexia; Herpetosiphonales; Herpetosiphonaceae. The record is from RNAcentral.
GGCGACAUAGCCAAGUGGUAAGGCAGUGGUCUGCAAAACCGCGAUCCGCGGGUUCGAAUCCCGCUGUCGCCUCCA